CAAGUACUCCCUCCGUCCGAAAAUACUUGUUGAAGGAAUAGAUGUAUUUAGAUGUAUUUUAGUUCUAGAUACAUUCAUUUUCAUCCAUUUUGCGACAAGUAAUUUUGAACGGAGGAAGUACUAC
This 124-nucleotide microRNA precursor is filed under the name Hordeum vulgare. RNAcentral describes it as "microRNA MIR1122". It matches the Rfam family "MIR1120/MIR1122 microRNA precursor family". Lineage: Eukaryota; Viridiplantae; Streptophyta; Magnoliopsida; Poales; Poaceae. The record is from RNAcentral.